UACAGAGGGUGCGAGCGUUAAUCGGAGUUACUGGGCGUAAAGCGCGCGUAGGCGGACCUGCAAGUCGGGGGUGAAAGCCCGAGGCUCAACCUCGGAACUGCCUUCGAUACUGCGGGUCUCGAGUCCGGGAGAGGUGAGUGGAAUUCCUAGUGUAGAGGUGAAAUUCGUAGAUAUUAGGAAGAACACCAGUGGCGAAGGCGGCUCACUGGCCCGGUACUGACGCUGAGGCGCGAAAGCGUGGGGAGCAAACAGG
RNAcentral lists this ribosomal RNA (253 nucleotides) under uncultured bacterium. RNAcentral's name for it is "partial 16S ribosomal RNA". It matches the Rfam family "Bacterial small subunit ribosomal RNA", at positions 524 to 776 of the family's 1533-position model. The record is from RNAcentral.